CUGCAGAUUAUUUCAUUUCUCUAUCUGAACAUUCUUCAGAUUUGCAUCGUGUCAGAGUUCUGCUCUUCUUCUUCAUCUUCAUCAGCACCUGAGCUCUCUCCACCAACUCUACGGUAUCUCUCCUGCUGCUGACUCUAGAACUCAUCUCUCUCCUGUCAUACAGAUCAACAUGAAGAUCUCUUUCUUUGCCAGUUUUCUGCUGCUCUCUCUGUGCCAACUGUGCAGCAGUUCUAUCUUUGAUUCCAAUAGGAUUAACGUUAGGGGGGUUGAUGAUAACAAGUUUGAACAAGAGCAUAUCUUGGCUAACCUAUGCACCCAGGUGAUGAUUGACAGAGGAUAUGAUGUCCUCAACAAAACCACCUGUAAGCCGGAGAAAACCUUCAUCAAAGCUACAGUGGACGAGGUCCGAGCCGUCUGUGGGGGUGGAGGAAAGGGAGUCAGCAAAGAGAACUUUAAACUGGUUGAGUGUAAAGUUGAUCCUGCUCAUAACAAGCCUCCUAACUGUCAGUACACGGUGGAGGAGGUGGAGAAGAAAAUCCUGGUCACCUGUGUCAAAAACAAACCUACUGAGUUUAAAAUACAUGAGUAAUCUGUUACUAUCUGAUGAAUCAGAGUAAUCUGUUACUACCUGAUGAGUCAGAGUAAAAUGUUACUACCUGAUGAAUCAGAGUAACUUGUGUCUACUGUUGAAUAAAACACGUGACAAUUUAAA
Sander lucioperca (pikeperch) is the source of this 712-nucleotide long non-coding RNA. RefSeq lists it as uncharacterized. The transcript has 3 exons. NCBI's taxonomy places the organism in Eukaryota, Metazoa, Chordata, Actinopteri, Perciformes, Percidae. The record is from RefSeq and is a predicted model, not a curated record.